AAAAAAAAAAAAAAAAAAAAAAACGUAGUAACAGAAACCGAUCUGCUGGACGGGUGGGAAGCCGCCCCUUGCUGUUCCCCCUCCUCACCUCAGAGGUUAUCUGCUAUUCCGAGGAAGUGAACGACAGGAGGCUGGGUCUUAAAACCUUCGUUUUCUGACCAUCCCUGGAACUUGUUUCCCUACCAGAAACGCACUCGCUGAUCACAAGGAAGAGUUGAACUGACGGACAAACGUGUAAUAGGUUUUAUGUAAUCCACAUAUAUUAA
Non-coding RNA from Myodes glareolus (Bank vole), 266 nucleotides. Lineage: Eukaryota; Metazoa; Chordata; Mammalia; Rodentia; Cricetidae. The record is from RefSeq and is a predicted model, not a curated record.